GAGAAAGAGAGAGGACCCAACUGACAGCCGAGAAGCAUCAAGAGUUGAUGGAUGACGAGUCACUUGACAUGAACGUAAUUGCUACUCAAGUAGGGCGGACAAAAUGCCACUCUGGGAAACAGCUCAGGGACGUAUCCCUUUACGCCAUCCAGAGAGAUUGCUUGCGCUGGUCAAGCACAAAUAUGUCAAGAACACACUUUGUUUUUCUCUAUCGGAUGAUCCAUGACACGAAGACACCAUGAAGUGAGCGAGUGACAGUGUAAGAUGCUGGGACCCGAUGCUCUACACAAGACAAGUAAACAGCGUUGCUGAACAUUUCUGCCCCAGCUCCGAUCUAAUCGAAUGUUUUAUUACUUUUGCGUGAACCUCUUUGAAGUUCUGAUAGAGUUCAGGCAGGGUUGGCCCCUGACUGCGUGCUCCGGGCUGUGGGAAUGCUGCUGGGUUCUUUCCAUUCUGCAUGGAGCUAUCUGAGAUAGAUUCAUCUCAUUUCAGUAACAGGGGAGCGCGGCUAACAUGAGCCGAACACUGAUUGAAACCUCGGCCCUGGUUUCACUCGGUUUUCAACGUAAUGGAUGGGACUGACCCGAAUGUCUACACUCUCAGCUCAUGGUGGGAGUUUAAGCUGUUUCUCGUCUGGAGAAACAAAUAAUAUAGUGGCCCUUUGUAAUAGUCUGUGACUUCAGAAGAACCACUGGUUAGGAAGGGAUAGAGAGAGAGAGAGAGAGAGAGGUGUUAGUUGAACGGAGACAGCUCUGAGCUAGGACACGUUGUUUUAAAUGGUACAAUUUCUGAGGUCCCAAUUCCUGUGUCUGUCUCUCCCCAUGUUAUUGGCAGACGGGACCUUGGUUUAACAUUCUCCCCAACAGCCAGCGCCUCCGAUAAUUCAGUGUGUCAGAUUAGACCGCGUGAGUUCAAGGGAUGUUGAAGACGAUGUGGGUUCAUGGAUUUGAGCAACAUGGGGAGAGACACUUCAGAAAUUGUACCAUUUAAAUAAAACAACCUAUCAAAUGGGGUUUUACUCUCUG
Long non-coding RNA from Callorhinchus milii (elephant shark), 1025 nucleotides. RefSeq lists it as uncharacterized. NCBI's taxonomy places the organism in Eukaryota, Metazoa, Chordata, Chondrichthyes, Chimaeriformes, Callorhinchidae. The transcript is spliced from 3 exons. The record is from RefSeq and is a predicted model, not a curated record.